GCGCGCAUAGCUCAGUUGGUAGAGCUGCGGCCUUUUAAGCCGUAGGUCCAGGGUUCGAGUCCCUGUGCGCGUA
This 73-nucleotide transfer RNA is filed under the name Candidatus Servula neotermitis. Its description in RNAcentral is "tRNA-Lys". It matches the Rfam family "tRNA". Rfam says of the family: Transfer RNA (tRNA) molecules are approximately 80 nucleotides in length. Their secondary structure includes four short double-helical elements and three loops (D, anti-codon, and T loops). The record is from RNAcentral. Lineage: Bacteria; Bacillati; Actinomycetota; Actinomycetes; Bifidobacteriales; Bifidobacteriaceae.